RNAcentral lists this ribosomal RNA (253 nucleotides) under uncultured bacterium. Its description in RNAcentral is "partial 16S ribosomal RNA". It matches the Rfam family "Bacterial small subunit ribosomal RNA", at positions 524 to 776 of the family's 1533-position model. The record is from RNAcentral.
UACAGAGGUCCCAAGCGUUGUUCGGAUUCACUGGGCGUAAAGGGUGCGCAGGUGGGCUGAUAAGUUCGAUGUGAAAGCCCCGGGCUUAACCCGGGAAUGGCAUUGGAAACUAUUGGUCUGGAGGGUUGGAGGGGGGACUGGAAUUCUUGGUGUAGCAGUGAAAUGCGUAGAUAUCAAGAGGAACACCAGUGGCGAAGGCGAGUCCCUGGACAAACCCUGACACUGAGGCACGAAAGCCAAGGGAGCAAACAGG